AUUGAACGCUGGCGGGAGGCCUAACACAUGCAAGUCGAACGAGUGGCGGACGGGUGAGUAAUGCUUGGGAAUCGAGCCUAUGGAGGGGGAUAACUAAGGGAAACUGUAGCUAAUACCGCGUACCACAGGCUGAGCCCAAUUGGGAUUAGGUAGUUGGUGGGGUAAAGGCUCACCAAGCCGACGAUCUCUAGCUGGUCUGAGAGGAUGACCAGCCACACUGGGACUGAGACACGGCCCAGACUCCUACGGGAGGCAGCAGUGGGGAAUGUUGCACAAUGGGGGCAACCCUGACGCAGCCAUGCCGCGUGAAUGAAGAAGGCCUUAGGGUUGUAAAGUACUUUCAGCGGGGAGGCGUUACCCGCAGAAGAAGCACCGGCUAACUCCGUGCCAGCAGCCGCGGUAAUUC
RNAcentral lists this ribosomal RNA (406 nucleotides) under uncultured bacterium. RNAcentral describes it as "partial 16S ribosomal RNA". It matches the Rfam family "Bacterial small subunit ribosomal RNA", at positions 30 to 526 of the family's 1533-position model. The record is from RNAcentral.